This 499-nucleotide ribosomal RNA is filed under the name uncultured bacterium. RNAcentral describes it as "bacterial SSU rRNA". It matches the Rfam family "Bacterial small subunit ribosomal RNA", at positions 15 to 507 of the family's 1533-position model. The record is from RNAcentral.
GAUCAUGGCUCAGGAUGAACGCUAGCUACAGGCUUAACACAUGCAAGUCGAGGGGCAUCACAGUGUAGCAAUACACGGGUGGCGACCGGCGCACGGGUGCGUAACACGUAUCCAAUCUGCCCGUUACUCGGGGAUAGCCUUCUGAAAGGAAGAUUAAUACCCGAUGGCAUUCAUUGGCGGCAUCGCUUAUGAAUUAAAGAUUUAUCGGUAACGGAUGAGGAUGCGUACGAUUAGCUAGUUGGCGGGGUAACGGCCCACCAAGGCAACGAUCGUUAGGGGUUCUGAGAGGAAGGUCCCCCACACUGGAACUGAGACACGGUCCAGACUCCUACGGGAGGCAGCAGUGAGGAAUAUUGGUCAAUGGGCGAGAGCCUGAACCAGCCAAGUAGCGUGAAGGAAGACUGCCCUAUGGGUUGUAAACUUCUUUUGUUCGGGAAUAAAGUGCAGUAUGUAUACUGUUUUGUAUGUACCGUUCGAAUAAGCAUCGGCUAAUUCCGUG